AGUCUUUCUGCCCAUUGAUUUUAAAAGGCUGCGGUAAUUUAACUGUACAAAGGUAGCAAAAUAAAUAGUUUUUUAAUUUAAAACUAGAAUGAAAGAAUUGAUAAAAUAUAAAUUGUCUCAAUUAAUAAAUUUAAAUUUUAAGUUAAAGUGCUUAAAUUUAUUUAUAGGACGAUAAGACCCUAAGAAUUUAAUAAUUUUGUUUAUUAUAAUAUUUAAAUUUAAAUAUAAUUAUUUUAUUGGGAGGAUAAUUAAAUUAAACUUUAAUUUUUAAAAACAUAUAUUAAUGAAUUUAAUGAUUAUUUUAAAGAUUAAAAGAAUAAAUUACCUUAGGGAUAACAGCGUAAUAAUUUUGGAGAGUUCAUAUUUAUAAAAUUGUUUACGACCUCGAUGUUGAAUUAAAAUAAAAAUUAAAUGGAGAUAUUUAAAUUUUUAGUCUGUUCGACUAUUAAAAUUUUAC
This 457-nucleotide ribosomal RNA is filed under the name Agelaia cajennensis. RNAcentral describes it as "partial large subunit ribosomal RNA". The record is from RNAcentral. Lineage: Eukaryota; Metazoa; Arthropoda; Insecta; Hymenoptera; Vespidae.